AGGGUUUGACAUACAAGUAGGUAGGGAAAGGAACUGGACCGACCCUUCGGGGAGCUUGUACAGGUGCUGCAUGGCUGUCGUCAGCUCGUGUCGUGAGAUGUUCGGUUAAGUCCGCUAACGAGCGCAACCCUCGCUGUGUGUUACAAGUGUCACACGGAACUGCCGGUCAUAAACCGGAGGAAGGUGGGGAUGACGUCAAGUCAGCAUGGCCUUUAUAUCCUGGGCUACACACACGCUACAAUGGGAAGGGACAAUAGGUUGCGAAGCCGCGAGGCGGAGCCAAUCCAGCAAAACUUCCCUCAGUUCAGAUUGCAGGCUGCAACUCGCCUGCAUGAAGUUGGAGUUGCUAGUAAACGCAGGUCAGCCAUACUGCGUUGAAUACGUUCCCGGGGCUU
This 395-nucleotide ribosomal RNA is filed under the name uncultured Anaerolineaceae bacterium. RNAcentral describes it as "bacterial SSU rRNA". It matches the Rfam family "Bacterial small subunit ribosomal RNA", at positions 976 to 1382 of the family's 1533-position model. Lineage: Bacteria; Bacillati; Chloroflexota; Anaerolineae; Anaerolineales; Anaerolineaceae. The record is from RNAcentral.